UGAGUUGAAGCUGAAACAUAGCAUUUGGCCGUUAACCAAAAGGAUGGAGGUUAAAGUAUUCCUCUCAACUCAG
This 73-nucleotide transfer RNA is filed under the name Actinopyga echinites. RNAcentral's name for it is "tRNA-Asn". The record is from RNAcentral. Lineage: Eukaryota; Metazoa; Echinodermata; Holothuroidea; Aspidochirotida; Holothuriidae.